Canis lupus familiaris (dog) is the source of this 392-nucleotide RNA transcript. It is a transcript of the gene named CTTNBP2 N-terminal like, with no coding region annotated. The transcript is spliced from 4 exons. The record is from RefSeq and is a predicted model, not a curated record. NCBI's taxonomy places the organism in Eukaryota, Metazoa, Chordata, Mammalia, Carnivora, Canidae.
CAGACGCGAGGUGGCGAUUGGCUCCGGCGGCUGCCAGCGCGCCCGCCUGGCGGGUGAGGGGCGGGGCCCCGGGCGGCUGUGGAUGCGGACGGUGAGGCGGCGGCGGGGAGCGGAGUCCGGGGCGCCGGGGAAAGCAUCGGACACUUUUCCACCAUGCUGAUGGCAUUUUAAAUAUAUUUGUCAAUUUUCCCAAAUUUUAACUGAAGAAGACCUUAAGAAUUCAUACUCGAGGACAAAAGUGUGACUGCCGAUUAUCAGUAUCAGGCUUUCAGGAUGAAUCUGGAAAAACUCAGCAAGCCUGAACUCCUAAUGCUGUUUAGUAUUCUUGAAGGAGAGCUUGAAGCAAGAGACCUUGUGAUAGAGGCUUUAAAGAUUAUUCCACAGAUUCUUUU